Octopus bimaculoides (California two-spot octopus) is the source of this 410-nucleotide long non-coding RNA. RefSeq lists it as uncharacterized. NCBI's taxonomy places the organism in Eukaryota, Metazoa, Mollusca, Cephalopoda, Octopoda, Octopodidae. The record is from RefSeq and is a predicted model, not a curated record.
GUUUGUACUCCACAUCAGCCCCAAUCGAACAGUAGGGGAAACGUACUUUCUCCUCAAAAUGACGCCCAGUAAGAUAGCGGCCAGAUCCCGGACAAGUAUUUGCCUGGAUUCUUGAGACAGUACGUCUUCAUGCACUCCUGGAAGGAUUCUCCCGGGAUUCUCCGCAGCUCCAUCAUCGAGGCCCUCUUGAUGGCUUCCACAUCAGAAAACAAGUCACCUUGAGCUUAGGGAAAAGAUGAAAAUCACACAGAGGCACGACGGGGAUUCUGAGAAAACCUCCUCGGUGUGGCACAGAUAUUUGUCAAGGACACUUCUUCGUUUAUUCCUGUAAUUCAACAGACGCAGUCUCACAUUUUCAUUUGUGUCAUCAAAUAAAAAUAGAGACACUGUAAAAAUAUUAAAAUACAUAC